RNAcentral lists this transfer RNA (67 nucleotides) under Potamilus leptodon. Its description in RNAcentral is "Leptodea leptodon tRNA-Thr". Lineage: Eukaryota; Metazoa; Mollusca; Bivalvia; Unionida; Unionidae. The record is from RNAcentral.
GCCCUGAGAAGCUUAAUUCUAAGCAUCGGUCUUGUAAACCGAAAAUAAGAUAAACACCUCCAAGGCU